UACGUAGGGUCCGAGCGUUGUCCGGAAUUACUGGGCGUAAAGAGCUCGUAGGUGGUUUGUCGCGUUGUCCGUGAAAACUCACAGCUCAACUGUGGGCGUGCGGGCGAUACGGGCAGACUGGAGUACUGCAGGGGAGACUGGAAUUCCUGGUGUAGCGGUGGAAUGCGCAGAUAUCAGGAGGAACACCGGUGGCGAAGGCGGGUCUCUGGGCCUGUCCUGACGCUGAGGCGCGAAAGCUAGGGGAGCGAACAGG
Molecule: ribosomal RNA, 253 nt
Filed under: uncultured bacterium
Lineage: Bacteria
Description: partial 16S ribosomal RNA
Rfam family: Bacterial small subunit ribosomal RNA
Source: RNAcentral